RNAcentral lists this ribosomal RNA (303 nucleotides) under uncultured bacterium. RNAcentral describes it as "bacterial SSU rRNA". It matches the Rfam family "Bacterial small subunit ribosomal RNA", at positions 355 to 675 of the family's 1533-position model. The record is from RNAcentral.
UGGGGAAUAUUGCACAAUGGGGGGAACCCUGAUGCAGCGACGCCGCGUGGGUGAGGAAGUACUUCGGUAUGUAAAGCCCUAUCAGCAGGGAAGAAAAUGACGGUACCUGACUAAGAAGCCCCGGCUAACUACGUGCCAGCAGCCGCGGUAAUACGUAGGGGGCAAGCGUUAUCCGGAUUUACUGGGUGUAAAGGGAGCGUAGACGGCGUGCCAAGUCUGGUGUGAAAGGCCGGGGCUCAACCCCGGGACUGCAUUGGAAACUGGCAUGCUGGAGUGCCGGAGGGGCAAGCGGAAUUCCUAGUG